This 264-nucleotide ribosomal RNA is filed under the name uncultured archaeon. RNAcentral's name for it is "partial 16S ribosomal RNA". It matches the Rfam family "Archaeal small subunit ribosomal RNA", at positions 718 to 982 of the family's 1478-position model. The record is from RNAcentral.
AGUCACUGACAUUAGAUACCCCGGUAGUCCAGGGUGUAAACGCUGCAGACUUGGUGUUGGAAGCCCUUUGGGGGCAUUCAGUGCCGGAGAGAAGUUGUUAAGUCUGCUACUUGGGAGUACGUCCGCAAGGAUGAAACUUAAAGGAAUUGGCGGGGGAGCACCGCAACGGGAGGAGCGUGCGGUUUAAUUGGAUUCAACACCGUAAAACUCACCAGGGAAGACUGUUACAUGAAGGCCGAGAUGAAGACUCUGCUAGAUUUUCAG